RNAcentral lists this ribosomal RNA (500 nucleotides) under uncultured bacterium. RNAcentral describes it as "bacterial SSU rRNA". It matches the Rfam family "Bacterial small subunit ribosomal RNA", at positions 28 to 514 of the family's 1533-position model. The record is from RNAcentral.
GAUGAACGCUAGCUACAGGCUUAACACAUGCAAGUCGAGGGGAAACGAUAUUGGAAGCUUGCUUCUGAUAGGCGUCGACCGGCGCACGGGUGAGUAACGCGUAUCCAACCUGCCCAUCACUUGGGGAUAACCUUGUGAAAGUAAGACUAAUACCCAAUGACGUCUCUAGAAGACAUCUGAAAGAGAUUAAAGAUUUAUCGGUGAUGGAUGGGGAUGCGUCUGAUUAGCUUGUUGGCGGGGUAACGGCCCACCAAGGCGACGAUCAGUAGGGGUUCUGAGAGGAAGGUCCCCCCANAUUGGAACUGAGACACGGUCCAAACUCCUACGGGAGGCAGCAGUGAGGAAUAUUGGUCAAUGGACGAGAGUCUGAACCAGCCAAGUAGCGUGCAGGAUGACGGCCCUAUGGGUUGUAAACUGCUUUUAUAAGGGAAUAAAGUGGGAGUCGUGACUCUUUUUGCAUGUACCUUAUGAAUAAGGACCGGCUAAUUCCGUGCCAGCAG